RNAcentral lists this ribosomal RNA (1104 nucleotides) under fungal endophyte. RNAcentral's name for it is "eukaryotic LSU rRNA". The stretch from base 520 to 1104 matches the Rfam family "Eukaryotic large subunit ribosomal RNA", at positions 1 to 596 of the family's 3401-position model. Lineage: Eukaryota; Fungi. The record is from RNAcentral.
AACUCCCAACCCUAUGUGAAUUCUAUUCUUGUUGCCUCGGCGCCGAGCAGCGGCUACUUGGGAGCUACCCGGUUGACUACCUACCCUGUAGAUGGUUACCCGGUAGCUACCCUGUAGUUGCACUUAUGCUCCGCCGAUGGACCAUUCAACUCUUGUUUUUAUAGUGUAUCUCUGAACUAUUAUAACUAAAUAAGUUAAAACUUUCAACAACGGAUCUCUUGGUUUUGGCAUCGAUGAAGAACGCAGCGAAAUGCGAUAAGUAAUGUGAAUUGCAGAAUUCAGUGAAUCAUCGAAUCUUUGAACGCAUAUUGCGCCCAUUAGUAUUCUAGUGGGCAUGCCUAUUCGAGCGUCAUUUCAACCCUUACGCCCCGUAGCGUAGUGUUGGGAAUCUACCCUGUAGAAAGGGUAGUUCCCUAAAACUAGUGGCGGUGUCCGGUACACUCAUAGCGUAGUAAUUCUUUUCUCGCUUCUGCAGUAGACCGGAUCCCUCGCCGUAAAACCCCCUAUUUUUCUAGUGGUUGACCUCGGAUUAGGUAGGAAUACCCGCUGAACUUAAGCAUAUCAAUAAGCGGAGGAAAAGAAACCAACAGGGAUUGCCCUAGUAACGGCGAGUGAAGCGGCAACAGCUCAAAUUUGAAAUCUGGCCCUCGGGUCCGAAUUGUAAUUUGUAGAGGAUGCUUUUGGUGCGGUGCCUUCCGAGUUCCCUGGAACGGGACGCCAGAGAGGGUGAGAGCCCCGUACGGUUGGACACCUACCCUAUAUAUAGCUCCUUCGACGAGUCGAGUAGUUUGGGAAUGCUGCUCUAAAUGGGAGGUAAAUUUCUUCUAAAGCUAAAUACCGGCCAAAGACCGAUAGCGCACAAGUAGAGUGAUCGAAAGAUGAAAAGCACUUUGAAAAGAGGGUUAAAUAGCACGUGAAAUUGUUGAAAGGGAAGCGUUUGCGACCAGACUUUUUCCAGGCGGAUCAUCCGGUGUUCUCACCGGUGCACUUCGUCUGGUUUAGGCCAGCAUCGGUUUUCGGAGGGGGAUAAAAGCCUGGGGAACGUGGCUCUCUCGAGAGUGUUAUAGCCCCUAGCAUAAUACCCUUCCGGGGACCGAGGACCGC